UGGAAACUAGCUUAAUCGGUAAAGCACUAGUUUUUGGUCCUAGCUAUAAAGGUUCGAACCCUUUGUUUCCAA
This 72-nucleotide transfer RNA is filed under the name Bakuella subtropica. RNAcentral's name for it is "tRNA-Gln". It matches the Rfam family "tRNA". Rfam says of the family: Transfer RNA (tRNA) molecules are approximately 80 nucleotides in length. Their secondary structure includes four short double-helical elements and three loops (D, anti-codon, and T loops). Lineage: Eukaryota; Ciliophora; Spirotrichea; Urostylida; Bakuellidae. The record is from RNAcentral.